CAAUUACUUGUCUUUUAAUUGGAGACGUGUAUGAAUGGAGAAAUGGGGGGAAGCUGUCUCUAAAAAAUUAUCUAAAAGUUAUUUUCUAGGUGAAAAAACCUAGGGAAAAUCAAGGACGAGAAGACCCUGGGAUCUUUUAUAUUUUUAGUUGGGGCAACUAAGGUUUUCACCUUUUGGAGUAAAUUUUUAAGUUAGAAUAAGGUACCCCAGGGAUAACAGUAUAAUAAAAUAAUUUUGUUUGUCACCUCGAUGUUGGACUAAGAAUUCCUCAGACUAGAAGUCUGAGGAACGGCUCUGUUCGAGCCAUUUCUCU
RNAcentral lists this ribosomal RNA (313 nucleotides) under Dendrodoris sp. i CGC-2020. Its description in RNAcentral is "partial large subunit ribosomal RNA". It matches the Rfam family "Bacterial large subunit ribosomal RNA", at positions 1962 to 2596 of the family's 2925-position model. The record is from RNAcentral. Lineage: Eukaryota; Metazoa; Mollusca; Gastropoda; Nudibranchia; Dendrodorididae.